CAGCCCUUAAAAUGUGGCUGCCAUUCCAUCAGUGCGUUACUGAGGACCUCAGGUUGGCCUUACUGCCCAGGAAUUACUGGGAGAAGCAGGACAGGUCUUUCUGCUGAGAUGAAUCAGCCUUACAAAAGCUGGCUGCCUUUGCAAGAGUCCCGGGCAGCUGCCACCAGCUCCAGGAGGCGCCCUGAGCUUGCUCCAAGCAGAAUUAGUGAUGGAAGAGCUUUGUGCUUAGUCGUUCCAGAUGCUCUACCAGCCAACCCAAGGAACUGGGAUGCAAGCUAGAGAGAGCUCAGCUGCAUGGCCGUGGAAUGCUGAGAUGCCAAGCCGUGCUCUCUCACUCUCAAAGCUCUCGUGUCCUUGUGGCAUUCAGCACACAGAGAGCAUCUCGACAACAGUCACUUUUCAUCAUCAUUUUCCAUUUUUCUUGAAAGGAUAACUGCAUAUUUUUGGAGAGCAUGGCCACAUACCUGAAUCUAUUCAGAGUCAAAUGGAACUGAGGAGAUCGUUAUUAAAACACAGAAAGCGCAGGAAUAAAAUUAACCGUAGCACCAGUUCUCUGUGUGCUGAAUACAC
This 570-nucleotide long non-coding RNA is filed under the name Gallus gallus (chicken). RNAcentral describes it as "lncRNA (ENSGALG00010025366.1)". Lineage: Eukaryota; Metazoa; Chordata; Aves; Galliformes; Phasianidae. The record is from RNAcentral.